CAUGUAUGUGCACGUGACUGAAAAAGUUGGUGGGACUGCUUCAGUGGGCAAAGGUGAUUGCCACCAAACCCGAUGGCCGGAUCCCCGGGACCUGCAUGGUCUAAGAGAACCAGUCUCUUCUUACAAGCUGUCCACUGGCCUCCACGUGUGUCCUGUGCAUGUAUGCAUGCACACAAGCACACAUUAGGUCAUACAUGAUGCCAUAAUUACACGGAGUAAAAUGAACUAUUUCAUUCAAGAUGACCCUCCAGUCAUGAGGAAGAAUCAAGUAAGACCUUAGGAGUCAAAAUGGACAAAUGUAAGGCAUUUCACUCUCAAAAUUCCAAUAGAGAGAUAAAGGCACUGCAGUUAGGAAAAUAACCCACAAUAUUAAAAAAAAUAUUGAAAAUAA
Non-coding RNA from Peromyscus maniculatus bairdii (prairie deer mouse), 391 nucleotides. The record is from RefSeq and is a predicted model, not a curated record. NCBI's taxonomy places the organism in Eukaryota, Metazoa, Chordata, Mammalia, Rodentia, Cricetidae.